GAGAGAGAGAGAGGCAGAGGCCUUGGUGGUGGGCAAAUCACAAGUGAGGGAGAGUAGACAGAGUCGUAGAGAGAGAAGAAGAAGCAAAGAGAAGAAUGCCAGAGGGAGAGCAGACAGAGGCAAACUACAAGGGGGUGAGGGGAGGUGUAACCAGUGUGACAAAACUUAUUUAACUCUAAAGCUAAAAUUUAAAAUAAAGUGUUUAAUGAAUUCAGUUCAGGUUUUCUCUUUUUUAAUUUAAAAACAGAACUGGAUUGAAAUAUCAAAUAGACUGAAAAUCACAAAAACCGAAUCAAAUUACCAACUAAACCAAACUGAAUUUCUGAAUUCAGUCAGUUAGCAAUUUUGGUGCAAACUGAAUGGUGCUCACACUUUAUUGCUUCAGUUUCUCAAUCUCGAGAC
RNAcentral lists this unclassified non-coding RNA (402 nucleotides) under Hevea brasiliensis (rubber tree). The record is from RNAcentral. Lineage: Eukaryota; Viridiplantae; Streptophyta; Magnoliopsida; Malpighiales; Euphorbiaceae.